UUGAACGCUGGCGGCAGGCCUAACACAUGCAAGUCGAACGGUAACAGGAAACAGCUUGCUGUUUCGCUGACGAGUGGCGGACGGGUGAGUACUGUCUGGGAAACUGCCUGAUGGAGGGGGAUAACUACUGGAAACGGUAGCUAAUACCGCAUAACGUCGCAAGACCAAAGAGGGGGACCCUCGGGCCUCUUGCCAUCGGAUGUGCCCAGAUGGGAUUAGCUUGUUGGUGGGGUAACGGCUCACCAAGGCGACGAUCCCUAGCUGGUCUGAGAGGAUGACCAGCCACACUGGAACUGAGACACGGUCCAGACUCCUACGGGAGGCAGCAGUGGGGAAUAUUGCACAAUGGGCGCAAGCCUGAUGCAGCCAUGCCGCGUGUAUGAAGAAGGCCUUCGGGUUGUAAAGUACUUUCAGCGGGGAGGAAGGGAGUAAAGUUAAUACCUUUGCUCAUUGACGUUACCCGCAGAAGAAGCACCGGCUAACUCCGUG
Molecule: ribosomal RNA, 489 nt
Filed under: uncultured bacterium
Lineage: Bacteria
Description: partial 16S ribosomal RNA
Rfam family: Bacterial small subunit ribosomal RNA
Source: RNAcentral